AUUUAACUGAUGAGUUCUAAAUAGGACGAAACUCGCGUCCUGGAU
Molecule: non-coding RNA, 45 nt
Filed under: Schistosoma mattheei
Lineage: Eukaryota; Metazoa; Platyhelminthes; Trematoda; Strigeidida; Schistosomatidae
Source: RNAcentral